GGAGUGUUCAGGAAAGUUGAUGAGGUUGAUGCAAGCUAGAGCUGUGCUAUAAGGAUUCAAGUGUAAGUCAUAGCUGGAAUAGUUGACAGUGAUUCUUCUUAUCGAAGAUGAUCUGAUUUGGUAAGAGAUGUUGUGUAAUAAUAGUGGUUGAUUCUAAUUUCAAUACUGUAACCUGGAUGCGAUCCUGUUGCUUUUAGGGGGUUGAAAUGUCUCUUUCGAAUCAUUUAUUAAAGUUUAAAUGUUCUCUUGAAAUUCUCUUAUUAUGGCUUUCAAGUUACAAAUUCAGGUUUUGAAAUCAUUUGAUUUAUGUUCUUUUUCAAAUAUUUUCCGGUUUUAAAUUCUUUUGAGUUUCAUUAUCUUUUAAAAUGAAAAAAAUACAGGGUUUCAAAAGUGUUUUAAAAGGGUUUUGUGU
This 412-nucleotide long non-coding RNA is filed under the name Daucus carota (carrot). Its description in RNAcentral is "long non-coding RNA (DCAR_LNC004142)". Lineage: Eukaryota; Viridiplantae; Streptophyta; Magnoliopsida; Apiales; Apiaceae. The record is from RNAcentral.